Molecule: ribosomal RNA, 735 nt
Filed under: Bacteroidota bacterium
Lineage: Bacteria; Pseudomonadati; Bacteroidota
Description: bacterial SSU rRNA
Rfam family: Bacterial small subunit ribosomal RNA
Source: RNAcentral
GGGAAUAGCCCAGAGAAAUUUGGAUUAAUACCCCGUAAUAUAACGGUGUGGCAUCACAUUGUUAUUAUAGGUUUACCGCUAAGAGAUGGGUGUGCGGCUGAUUAGGUAGUUGGCGGAGUAAUAGCCCACCAAGCCGACGAUCAGUAGCUGAUGUGAGAGCAUGAUCAGCCACACGGGCACUGAGACACGGGCCCGACUCCUACGGGAGGCAGCAGUAAGGAAUAUUGGACAAUGGACGCAAGUCUGAUCCAGCCAUGCCGCGUGAAGGAUUAAGGCCCUCUGGGUUGUAAACUUCUUUUAUAGGGGACGAAAAAAGGGCUUUCUAGCUCGUCUGACGGUACCCUAUGAAUAAGCACCGGCUAACUCCGUGCCAGCAGCCGCGGUAAUACGGAGGGUGCAAGCGUUAUCCGGAUUCACUGGGUUUAAAGGGUGCGUAGGCGGGCAGUUAAGUCAGUGGUGAAAUCUUCGAGCUCAACUCGGAAACUGCCAUUGAUACUAUCUGUCUUGAAUACUGUGGAGGUGAGCGGAAUAUGUCAUGUAGCGGUGAAAUGCUUAGAUAUGACAUAGAACACCGAUUGCGAAGGCAGCUCGCUACACAAAUAUUGACGCUGAGGCACGAAAGCGUGGGGAUCAAACAGGAUUAGAUACCCUGGUAGUCCACGCCCUAAACUAUGGAUACUCGACAUUUGCGAUACACAGUAAGUGUCUGAGCGAAAGCAUUAAGUUCCCACCUGG